UACAGAGGGUGCAAGCGUUAAUCGGAAUCACUGGGCGUAAAGGGCGCGUAGGCGGUCUGCUAAGCGUGCGGUGAAAGCCUGGGGCUCAACCCCAGGUCUGCCGUGCGAACUGGUGGACUAGAGCACUGUAGAGGCAGGUGGAAUUCCGGGUGUAGCGGUGGAAUGCGUAGAGAUCCGGAAGAACACCGGUGGCGAAGGCGGCCUGCUGGGCUAUGGCUGACACUGAGGCGCGACAGCGUGGGGAGCAACAGG
Molecule: ribosomal RNA, 252 nt
Filed under: uncultured bacterium
Lineage: Bacteria
Description: partial 16S ribosomal RNA
Rfam family: Bacterial small subunit ribosomal RNA
Source: RNAcentral